This 450-nucleotide ribosomal RNA is filed under the name uncultured bacterium. Its description in RNAcentral is "partial 16S ribosomal RNA". It matches the Rfam family "Bacterial small subunit ribosomal RNA", at positions 354 to 796 of the family's 1533-position model. The record is from RNAcentral.
GUGGGGAAUAUUCCGCAAUGGACGAAAGUCUGACGGAGCAACGCCGCGUGAGUGAUGAAGGUUUUCGGACUGUAAAGCUCUGUUGUUUAGGACGAAAGUGCCUGUUGCAAAUAGUUACAGGUAUUGACGGUACUGAACGAGGAAGCCACGGCUAACUACGUGCCAGCAGCCGCGGUAAUACGUAGGUGGCAAGCGUUGUCCGGAAUUAUUGGGCGUAAAGAGCAUGUAGGCGGGAAUCUAAGUCUGUUGUGAAAAUGCGGGGCUCAACCCCGUAUUGCGAUGGAAACUGGGUUUCUUGAGUGCAGGAGAGGAAAGGGGAAUUCCCAGUGUAGCGGUGAAAUGCGUAGAUAUUGGGAGGAACACCAGUGGCGAAGGCGCCUUUCUGGACUGUGUCUGACGCUGAGAUGUGAAAGCCAGGGUAGCGAACGGGAUUAGAAACCCCUGUAGUCC